CUUCCUGAAGAUAUUUCUCCCUAAGGAUGCAGAGGAAAUCACAGCUUUCAGAUUGCAUUUGUCCAAUUUGUUAGACAAAACUAAUAUCAGCUUUUACGGAGGAAAAGAUGCCAACCUACAGUUCUUUCAAUGUAAAGGUGCUUCUGUAGCUGCAGAAAAAUGCUGACAUUGCUCCUUGAUUGCAAAAGGAGCAUGUGACACAUAAUUAAUCCACAUAUGGACAAGAAUGUCUUCCAAGACUGGAAAUGGAAAACUAAUCAAGAGCACAUAUGACACACUGGAUCCAGCACACAUGGUUCACUAGGACUUCUUGGCUGCCUCACAUCUGGCUGGCUCAGAGCGCAGGCAGAACCGCACAUGACUGCCUGCCUUCUUUCAUGGAGACAUCUGUUGAACUGAAGCCUUCAGUUUUAUCAGCUUAGGACAUAUCUCACAGAAGAAAAUCUCCUCUGGCAAUUGACUUGAAAACUGCACACCAAGACCUUAUUUGGAAGGGCCAAACUGACUACUGCUACAGAUGCCAAAUUCUCAUUGGCUUUAGCAGAGGAUCUACUUCAGAAAGGAUGGAGGUGUUGUGGUUUAUAUCACUGUGUUGGCUACUGGAAGCAGCUGCGCUUUCCAGUCACACGGAGAAUUAUUGAGGUCUCAAACAGGAUGCUGAGGUUCCCAAGGAUGAGCACCUCUGGAAAGGUUUAGAUUUGGUUUCCCAGGAACUUAUAUCUUUCCUCAAAAUGUAGAUGAACAUGAAGACAAACUAAUUCUUCAUUGCUGGAUGCCAUAUGUUAUAUAAAGAUUUACAGAGCUGUUUGUAGCAGGUGCUUUGGCUGUGCUGUUUACUGCUUCAAUGAGAGACCAAGUUAGAUUUUUAUAUUCCUCUCCCAUAAUAUUUAAUGAGCAAUAUUUAUGCUUAUGUCAGAGAUAUGCUUUGAGCCGUGAUUAUUAUCUGCAAUUUUGCACUGUAAUACGAUGUCCAACUUCAAUACUUACUGUUAUGAGGCACCGUUACGAGGCAGUGGUCCUUGUCGUCUGAUCUUACAAAAUGUAGAGAGUGGUUAUGGUUUUCGAGGCUGGAAAGGUCUGUGAAUGUGAGUAGUGAAUUAUGAAACUGGUGAAUUUUUUGUGUCUUGAAUCUGAAGAGCAGCCAACCAAAGCAACGUGCCUACAAUAUAUAUACACACAUAAAAAUGCACACGCGUACUCGCACAUAAACAAUACAGGUAUGGAUACAAAAAUUCAACUCUGUAAGUGUGUCCUGAAUCAAAUAUACUAAAAUAAAUCUCAACUAUAUUGUCUCAAAAGCAUCCCAUAAAUAGAAAAGUGCUCAGACAUGUUUGACCCUGCUAGCAGGGUACCAUGCAUCACCUGCUCUGUAAUACCUCACUUGAAGUACCUGACUCAUCAGUCAUGCUGCCUCCCUUUUACAAUGGGCUAAGGGAUGGGCACAAUCUCCCAUCUCAUGGGAGGCUAUUUAUUGGACCCUGUAAUGCAGACAGGAGCUUGAGCUCUAUUUCUGAGAGAAAGGGCUAACAUGAGGCUAAUUCAAAGGAAGCACAUGGGACAAGGCCCUGGUGGGGCCAAAUCACUGUGAAUGUAUCAAAGUGGAAAUUUGCAUCAGCUCAAGACAAGGGCUGAUGUACUUUGAAAACACAGAGCCUUAGUGAAACAGAACAUCGUUUCUCUUUAAAUAUCUGUUAACUGUUACAGCACUUCAAAAUGCAAUUGAGGGGUAAAGAUUGCAAAAGUACUUCAGGCUUCCCCACAAAAUUCGUCUUAGUAGGACUAUGUUUGAGGUACAAAUCUUUCAGAGAGAUCUUUACACAGAGACUUUUAAUUAUUUUCAUGGAAAGAUGGUGAAAGGAAAGUAGACAGUGAGCUAUACUCAUGCACGGGUUUGUGA
Molecule: long non-coding RNA, 1897 nt
Organism: Pseudopipra pipra
Lineage: Eukaryota; Metazoa; Chordata; Aves; Passeriformes; Pipridae
Exons: 3
Source: RefSeq, a predicted model, not a curated record